CCUACGGGUGGCAGCAGUGGGGAAUAUUGGGCAAUGGGCGCAAGCCUGACGCAGCAACGCCGCGUGAAGGAAGAAGGCUUCCGGGUUGUAAACUUCUUCUAUGAGGGACGAAAGAAAUGACGGUUCCUCAUGAAUAAGCCACUGCUAACUACGUGCCAGCAGCCGCGGUACUACGGAGGGGGCAAGCGUUAUCCGGAUUUACUGGGUGUACAGUGCGCGUAGGCGGGAAUGCAAGUCUGAUGUUAAAGUUAUGGGCUCAACCCAUAGCCUGCAUUUGAAACUUUAGUGCUAGAGUGUGGGAGAGGCAAGCGGAAUUCCGUGUGUAGCGGUGAAAUGCGUAGAUAUACGGAGGAACAUCAGUGGCGAAGGCGGCCUACUGGACAAUAACUGACGCUGAGGAACGAAAGCGAGGGGAGCAAACGGGAUUAGAUACCCUAGUAGUC
RNAcentral lists this ribosomal RNA (443 nucleotides) under uncultured bacterium. RNAcentral's name for it is "partial 16S ribosomal RNA". It matches the Rfam family "Bacterial small subunit ribosomal RNA", at positions 338 to 795 of the family's 1533-position model. The record is from RNAcentral.